Molecule: transfer RNA, 71 nt
Filed under: Marmota monax (woodchuck)
Lineage: Eukaryota; Metazoa; Chordata; Mammalia; Rodentia; Sciuridae
Description: tRNA.Ala
Rfam family: tRNA (bases 8-64)
About the family: Transfer RNA (tRNA) molecules are approximately 80 nucleotides in length. Their secondary structure includes four short double-helical elements and three loops (D, anti-codon, and T loops). Further hydrogen bonds mediate the characteristic L-shaped molecular structure. tRNAs have two regions of fundamental functional importance: the anti-codon, which is responsible for specific mRNA codon recognition, and the 3' end, to which the tRNAs corresponding amino acid is attached (by aminoacyl-tRNA synthetases). tRNAs cope with the degeneracy of the genetic code in two manners: having more than one tRNA (with a specific anti-codon) for a particular amino acid; and 'wobble' base-pairing, i.e. permitting non-standard base-pairing at the 3rd anti-codon position.
Source: RNAcentral
GGGGAUAUGGCUCUGUGGUAGAGUGUUUGCCUAGCAUGCAUAAGGUCCUGGGUUCAGUUCCCAGAACUACA